Long non-coding RNA from Manacus vitellinus (golden-collared manakin), 495 nucleotides. NCBI's taxonomy places the organism in Eukaryota, Metazoa, Chordata, Aves, Passeriformes, Pipridae. The record is from Ensembl.
AGAAAGUCAUGGUGUCACUGGAUAAGCUGACAUAAACAUGUAAACACCUUCGGUCAGGGGGAAAUGAGGGUAAUGGUGAUGUGGAGGGGAAAAGAACCAGAAUCUGAAGGGCAGUGUGAAGGCAAAAUGGUUGAUGGGGGGAGGAAACAAGGGAAUUUGGAAAUCUGAUAAGAAAACUGGCAUCACAGUGCUCUUUCUAAGUAGAAGUGCUCAGAAAUUGAAUAGCCUGUUGUUUCACCAACACCAGUGUCAGGGUCACUGGGCUGCUCCUUCCUCCCUCGUGAAUGAACUUUAGAUGAUGUUUGCUCUUUUCCAGCACUGCUGCAUCACUGCAUCAUUUUCUCUGCCUCCUGACACAACAGGCCUUAGAAAAACCCUUCUUUGUGAUCUGGCCCCCAGUGCUCCUUGCCAGCCCUGCUUUGGAGGUGAGGGGGAGAGAAAUGCUGCUCCUAGGGUGGUUUUUUUUGGGAUUGAUUCUCAAUGAAGACUCCAGGA